GGGUUGUGAGGUUAAGCGACUAAGCGUACACGGUGGAUGCCCUGGCAGUCAGAGGCGAUGAAGGGCGUACUAAUCUGCGAUAAGCGCCGGUAAGGUGAUAUGAACCGUUAUAACCGGCGAUACCCGAAUGGGGAAACCCAGUGUGAUUCGUCACACUAUCAUUAACUGAAUCCAUAGGUUAAUGAGGCGAACCGGGGGAACUGAAACAUCUAAGUACCCCGAGGAAAAGAAAUCAACCGAGAUUCCCCCAGUAGCGGCGAGCGAACGGGGAGGAGCCCAGAGCCUGAAUCAGCAUGUGUGUUAGUGGAAGCGUCUGGAAAGGCGCGCGAUACAGGGUGACAGCCCCGUACACAAAAGCGCAUGUGCUGUGAGCUCGAUGAGUAGGGCGGGACACGUGGUAUCCUGUCUGAAUAUGGGGGGACCAUCCUCCAAGGCUAAAUACUCCUGACUGACCGAUAGUGAACCAGUACCGUGAGGGAAAGGCGAAAAGAACCCCGGCGAGGGGAGUGAAAAAGAACCUGAAACCGUGUACGUACAAGCAGUGGGAGCC
RNAcentral lists this ribosomal RNA (550 nucleotides) under Salmonella enterica. RNAcentral describes it as "partial 23S ribosomal RNA". It matches the Rfam family "Bacterial large subunit ribosomal RNA", at positions 1 to 581 of the family's 2925-position model. Lineage: Bacteria; Pseudomonadati; Pseudomonadota; Gammaproteobacteria; Enterobacterales; Enterobacteriaceae. The record is from RNAcentral.